This 222-nucleotide ribosomal RNA is filed under the name uncultured Lactobacillus sp. RNAcentral describes it as "partial 16S ribosomal RNA". It matches the Rfam family "Bacterial small subunit ribosomal RNA", at positions 140 to 355 of the family's 1533-position model. Lineage: Bacteria; Bacillati; Bacillota; Bacilli; Lactobacillales; Lactobacillaceae. The record is from RNAcentral.
GGGAUAACACCUGGAAACAGAUGCUAAUACCGGAUAACAACAGAUGAUGCCUAUCAACUGUUUAAAAGAUGGUUCUGCUAUCACUCUUGGAUGGACCUGCGGUGCAUUAGCUAGUUGGUAGGGUAACGGCCUACCAAGGCGAUGAUGCAUAGCCGAGUUGAGAGACUGAUCGGCCACAUUGGGACUGAGACACGGCCCAAACUCCUACGGGAGGCAGCAGCA